AACGAACGCUGGCGGCAUGCCUAACACAUGCAAGUCGAACGAGAUCUUCGGGUCUAGUGGCGCACGGGUGCGUAACGCGUGGGAAUCUGCCCUUGGGUUCGGAAUAACUUCGGGAAACUGAAGCUAAUACCGGAUGAUGACGUAAGUCCAAAGAUUUAUCGCCCAAGGAUGAGCCCGCGUAGGAUUAGCUAGUUGGUGAGGUAAAGGCUCACCAAGGCGACGAUCCUUAGCUGGUCUGAGAGGAUGAUCAGCCACACUGGGACUGAGACACGGCCCAGACUCCUACGGGAGGCAGCAGUGGGGAAUAUUGGGACAAUGGGCGAAAGCCUGAUCCAGCAAUGCCGCGUGAGUGAUGAAGGCCUUAGGGUUGUAAAGCNCUUUUUGCCCGGGAUGAUAAUGACAGUACCGGGAGAAUAAGCUCCGGCUAACUCCGUGCCAGCAGCCGCGGUAAUGUGACUACUG
This 462-nucleotide ribosomal RNA is filed under the name uncultured bacterium. RNAcentral describes it as "bacterial SSU rRNA". It matches the Rfam family "Bacterial small subunit ribosomal RNA", at positions 29 to 534 of the family's 1533-position model. The record is from RNAcentral.